Molecule: ribosomal RNA, 685 nt
Filed under: uncultured bacterium
Lineage: Bacteria
Description: bacterial SSU rRNA
Rfam family: Bacterial small subunit ribosomal RNA
Source: RNAcentral
AUUAGCUAGUUGGUGGGGUAAAGGCCUACCAAGGCGACGAUCUGUAGCGGGUCUGAGAGGAUGAUCCGCCACACUGGGACUGAGACACGGCCCAGACUCCUACGGGAGGCAGCAGUGGGGAAUAUUGGACAAUGGGGGAAACUCUGAUCCAGCCAUGCCGCGUGUGUGAAGAAGGCCUUAUGGUUGUAAAGCACUUUAAGCGAGGAGGAGGCUACUGAGACUAAUACUCUUGGAUAGUGGACGUUACUCGCAGAAUAAGCACCGGCUAACUCUGUGCCAGCAGCCGCGGUAAUACAGAGGGUGCGAGCGUUAAUCGGAUUUACUGGGCGUAAAGCGUGCGUAGGCGGCUUUUUAAGUCGGAUGUGAAAUCCCCGAGCUUAACUUGGGAAUUGCAUUCGAUACUGGGAAGCUAGAGUAUGGGAGAGGAUGGUAGAAUUCCAGGUGUAGCGGUGAAAUGCGUAGAGAUCUGGAGGAAUACCGAUGGCGAAGGCAGCCAUCUGGCCUAAUACUGACGCUGAGGUACGAAAGCAUGGGGAGCAAACAGGAUUAGAUACCCUGGUAGUCCAUGCCGUAAACGAUGUCUACUAGCCGUUGGGGCCUUUGAGGCUUUAGUGGCGCAGCUAACGCGAUAAGUAGACCGCCUGGGGAGUACGGUCGCAAGACUAAAACUCAAAUGAAUUGACGG